Molecule: long non-coding RNA, 3252 nt
Filed under: Homo sapiens (human)
Lineage: Eukaryota; Metazoa; Chordata; Mammalia; Primates; Hominidae
Description: HSALNT0085614
Source: RNAcentral
CGAGGUCGAGAGAUCAAGACCAUCUUGGCCAACAUGGUGAAACUCCGUCUCUACCAAAAAUACAAAAAUUAGCUGGGUGAGGUGGUGCAUGCCUGUAAUCCCAGAUACUCAGGAGACUGAGGCACGAGAAUCGCUUGAACCCAGGAGGUGGAGUUUGCAGUGAGACGAGAUCGCGCCACUGCACUCUAGCCUGGCCACAGAGCAAGACUCUGUCUAAAAAAGAAAAAAAAAAAGCUUAAUAUUAAAAUAAUUAAGGGAAUGAAUUCAGAGAAUCAAUUAAGUAAUUGAGGGCAUAAUAUUGGCCUCCAACUUGAGCAGAACCUAGCCAGUUCUUUAUGUGGAAGGUGCCUGAAAACCACCCUGUGUGACGCAAUAAGAAGAACAUUAAGCUAUUGAUCAAGCAGACUGUGGAAAGGUGAAUGCAGAAGUCAUUUGUCAUCCUUGGCAUUGUGUUAAUGGAAGUUUUGUCUACACGAAGAGGACAGACAUUGUUCUACCAGAGUAAGGGAAGAACUGGAUAUCUGAGAGCUAGUCCCGGAACGUGUCCUUUGGUUUCUAGGUCUCAAAGAAGAGUAAAUGUUAUUCAUGAAUGCCUUAAACCGGAAGUGCGUAAACGGCAUGUGUGAGUGUGUGUGUUUUCCCAGACCACGCAGCAUGAAAGCUAUUGUUUCUGCUUUUAAAAACGUAGUAGAAAUCGGUAUCUAUAGAGACCUAACUGCCUGCUAUGCUUACAAAUAUUCAUAUAUUUUGAACCCAUGAUUUCUAAAUUGGUAUGGUAAUUUAUAGAAUUAUAAAUGCUAACCAAUCUCUUAUCAUGGUAAAAGGCCACCUUCAGCAAAUGUAUAUACUAAAGAGGAUAGCUAAAAGUUGGUGGAAUAACACAGAUAAUCGCAUUGUGCAAAAGCAUUAUUCCUUACUACCCUUUAAAUUGAGAAGAAGAAACAUACCUGGCUUUUACAUUUUCUGGUUAAAUAAAAUAUCAUAUUUUGGGCUAUCUCCAAGAUAGCUAACAGAUGUGAGGAUUAUAAUAAUUGGAGAGUCAUGUAAGAUCUGGCUGCCAUAAAUGUCACUGAACAGCUUUUACAACAUUAUGAUAAAAUUAUAUGGCUAUACUGUCUAGAGAGACAGUGGUCACCAAAUGUGGGUUUUAAAAUAGAGAGUAGAGUUUGGCAAGUGGUGGAAAGGGAAGCCCCAAAUUCUUCUUUCUCCAUGGACACACUGACUCAACAACAAUACAUGGACUAAUUCACUUUGUGAGAAAUCUAGAAACCAAUUAGGAGAGGCGUCUCCACCUCAGGGAAAAAAACAGCUGCAUUCCAGUUGGUAGGAAAAUUUGUCACACAUACUCAUCAUCGUUCCUCCUCAUGGCUCAGCACAGCAAAACAGGGAGAAAACUCCCAGCUCCUGGCUUCCCCCUUUGAAGGGAAUUAGGAGACUGAAACGUCCAUUCAAUGUAUAGACAUUUCAGCGGACCCCCUAAAAGAUUGGUUUUUGUCUUGCCUGAAUCUAAGCAUUAAUGAAAAAGGACACGAUGUUGCAGAUCACUGAGAACAAAGGGGUGGUUUGGACUAGUCCAGCACUCACUUGCUAUAUAGUCCAUUUCCCAAGCUCAGCUCAGAAUGAGCAAGAGAAAACCCCAACCCUCGGCAUCUCCCUGCAGAGGGAAAGAGUUGGAGACUGUGAUCAAUACUCUGGGUUUCAGAGGGAUGCCUGAAGGUCUGGUUUAUGUCUCACCUGUCUUGGAGAACUGAUAAGACCUGCAUACUUUAGAGUCCUGGAGGCCACUAAAAACAAAAGAGAAAAGCUUGCCCCUGCUCCAGGCAACCAACACAUGGUAUGGUCAGCAGAUUAUGGUACAGCUCAGUGGCUUAUGUCUUAGGAGUCAAAAAGAAGAGUGGAACAGUGGUCCACGUUCUGGCUCUUCAGGAGGCUUCCCAAGGGACUGAUUUCUGCCUCAUGUGAUGCAGAACCCUGAAGAGAUACUGCAUAAUCUAGAAGUCUGGAAGGACCUGAGGUCAUAAUAAAACUGGGAAGCUUGAGGCAGCUCGAUAGAACCUGCACUACCCCAAACAGACACCAGAAAGGACAAGAGAUUAUUAAACCCUUGAAAAAAGAAACUGACAAACCCCUCUAACUGGGAAUUUAUAUGCACAAUUUAGAAAAGACACAUCUGCAGAAAAUGUUUGAGUAUGUACCAAAAUCUCCAGCCCAGCUGACUAGUGAAGGUGUUUCCAUGGAUAAAACCCAUCCAUAAAAACAAGAUAAAUGGCUACUUUUUCAAAUAUGAAGUUCCCAACACAAAGUUACAAGGCACACAAAAAGAAGCAAAGAAACAUAGUCCUAUCAAAUAAACAAAACAAAUCUCCAGAAAGUGAUCCUAAAGAAACAGAGGUGUAUGAAUUACCUGAUAGUUCAUUAAAAUAGUCAUAAUAAAGAUCAUCAACAAGCCAAGGAAAACAAUAGAUGGACUGAGAUUUCAGGUGCUAAUCUUGUGGCUGGAGACAAUUAGUGGUGUUCUAUGUGGACUAAACCUUACUAGCUUGAAUAUAAAAAUAAUAAUAAUGGAAGGUAGCAUGUUAUUUUGUAUACAUUUUUUGAAAGAAACAUUGAAAUUUGGACAAAUUAAGCAGCCCUUCUUAUCUUCAUUUUGACAAAGUGUUGCUGUAAACCAUGUAUAACAGCUUGCAGGAGCAUAGGCUACUUUGUACAAACAUUAGAAGUACUGAAAAAUAGGCCAGCCACCGCGCCAGGCCCAUAAAGCUGUAAUCUUUAACCAUAAUACAAGAGUAGAGAAUGAACAUUGAAAAAAUGUCUCAAACUGGAUUAAAAACACUGCAUUAUAUUUUUCUUGCAUAGCUAUAAAGAAAAACCUGAGACUGGGUAAUUUAUAAAGCAAAGAGAUUGCAGUGGCUCACAUUUCUGUAGGCUGUAUAGGAAGCACGGUGGCAUCUGCUUCUGGGGAGGCCUCAGGAAGCUUACAAUCAUGGUGUAAGGUGAAGGGGAAGCAGACACAUCACAUGGCAAAAUCGAGAGCAAGAAAGAGAGGGGUGGGGGUGCCACACACUUUUUAAUGACCCGAUCUCGCAAAAACUCACCCACUAUCACAAGGACAGACCCAAGAAGAUGGUACUAAGCUAUUCAAGAGAAAUCCACCCCCAUGAUCCAAUCACUUCCCACCAAACCCCACCUCCGACAUUGGGGAUCACAAUUCAAAAUGAUAUUUGGGUGGGGACACAGAUCCACACCAUAUAA